This 509-nucleotide ribosomal RNA is filed under the name uncultured bacterium. RNAcentral's name for it is "bacterial SSU rRNA". It matches the Rfam family "Bacterial small subunit ribosomal RNA", at positions 21 to 507 of the family's 1533-position model. The record is from RNAcentral.
GGCUCAGAGCGAACGUUAGCGGCGGGCCUAACACAUGCAAGUCGAACGCGAAAGGUCUUCGGACUGAGUAGAGUGGCGCACGGGUGAGUAACACGUAGGUAAUCUACCCUUUGGCGGGGGAUAACGUUCCGAAAGGAGCGCUAAUACCGCAUAAGGACCACGGAGUCUCCGGACGCUGUGGGAAAAGGUGGCCUCUUCUUGAAAGCUACCACCGAAGGAUGAGCCUGCGUCCCAUCAGCUAGUUGGUAAGGUAAUGGCUUACCAAGGCGAAGACGGGUAGCUGGUUUGAGAGAAUGAUCAGCCACACUGGCACUGGAACACGGGCCAGACUCCUACGGGAGGCAGCAGUGAGGAAUAUUGGGCAAUGGGCGAAAGCCUGACCCAGCCACGCCGCGUGAGUGAUGAAGGCCCUCGGGUCGUAAAGCUCUGUGGAGAGGGACGAAAACCCUGGUUUCAAAUAGGCUCCAGGCUUGACGGUACCUCUUUAGCAAGCACCGGCUAACUCUGUG